UCCUACGGGGGGCAGCAGUGGGGAAUAUUGGGCAAUGGGCGCAAGCCCGACCCAGCAACGCCGCGUGAAGGAAGAAGGCUUUCGGGUUGUAAACUUCUUUUCUCAGGGACGAAGAAAGUGACGGUACCUGAGGAAUAAGCCACGGCUAACUACGUGCCAGCAGCCGCGGUAAUACAUAGGGGGCAAGCGUUAUCCGGAAUUAUUGGGUGUAAAGGGUGCGUAGACGGAAGAACAAGUUGGUUGUGAAAUCCCUCGGCUCAACUGAGGAACUGCAACCAAAACUAUUCUCCUUGAGUGUCGGAGAG
This 305-nucleotide ribosomal RNA is filed under the name uncultured bacterium. RNAcentral's name for it is "bacterial SSU rRNA". It matches the Rfam family "Bacterial small subunit ribosomal RNA", at positions 337 to 656 of the family's 1533-position model. The record is from RNAcentral.